RNAcentral lists this long non-coding RNA (383 nucleotides) under Brassica rapa (field mustard). RNAcentral's name for it is "long non-coding RNA (BRAP_LNC001188)". Lineage: Eukaryota; Viridiplantae; Streptophyta; Magnoliopsida; Brassicales; Brassicaceae. The record is from RNAcentral.
UUAUCUUUUUGUUUCUAUCUUUCUGCAUCCUAAUCAUGCCUUCUAAAAGCCUUGUCCAGAAGACAAUCAUACCUGCGAUCUGAUUGGAUCUUCUUACCUUAUCGGUUUGCGUCUUCUUUCUAACUAAGAGUUAUAAAUCUUUACUUGUUGAUUAUAUUCGGCCGUGAGUAAAGUCUCCUCUUGUCUGGAAGCCAAGUGAUGCGGAUUAGCUGGAACUGAUCAUAAAGAACUGGAUUCUCUUCGCCUUGUUAGGUGGUGAUCCAAGGAAUGUAUCAGAACUGGCGAUCUGAGAACUUAUUCCUCCGAUGGUCGUAGAUCCUAUCCUCAGUCCCGGCGACAAGCAAAAGGCGUCUAGCGGAGAUCGAGAAAGCCAUGGAAGAAAA